CUACCCCUCAAGCGCGGCUUGUGUGUUGGGUGCGGUCCCCCCGGGGACCUGCCCGAAAGGCAGCGGCGACGUCCGUCUGGUCCUCGAGCGUAUGGGGCUUUGUCACUCGCUCGGGACGGACCUGCGGGGGUUGGUCACCACCAUAUUUUACCAC
RNAcentral lists this unclassified non-coding RNA (154 nucleotides) under uncultured Talaromyces. Its description in RNAcentral is "sequence contains ITS2". The record is from RNAcentral. Lineage: Eukaryota; Fungi; Ascomycota; Eurotiomycetes; Eurotiales; Trichocomaceae.